CUGCCAACGUGACAAUGUGAAACACAUGAGAGUAAACGCUGCGGGGUAUAACUGUUCAUGCUGUUUAUUACAAAUGUUUUGUUAAAUAUUUCAACAUAACUUUACCUGUUUAUGUUUCUGUAUGUGCUAAAGAGGAACGCUUCGAAUUGCAGUCUUUUCUGUAUACGUUUUAUUUUAAAAGGGCUGUCAAAGUUGGGUUCUCUCAUCCUCUAGUCCAGCUAGGGGACGCUACUUGUGUUACGAACCAUCUGUCACCUCACUGUCUUUGAACACAUAUUAGCAGAUAUAUGGUCCAGCAAUUUAAUCGUAUGUACAAGAUCUCUCAACCUUAUAUGUUUUUCAAAGUAGCUGCAGUCCAGCACGUCAACUCAUUUGGGAAUCAGGUGUCAUCAGUCCAACUUUGGCCCCCUGUGUGGUGGAGCCAACUUUGCCCGUGCUUUGCAAUUCUCUUCAAGAAAGGACUGACAAAUCUGUUCAGUUUCCAUUUCAGUCCUGAACUGCUGACCGCAUCCUUUAUUUUUUCCCUGUUCCCUGUUGUCUUUUUGCAGUAUUCACAUUCAAGAUGCACUGUGUUCAGGUGUUCCCAUGAAAUCCUUGUUUAAUAAUAUAGAUACUAGAUUAUGCUUAAUAACUUUGUGUAUGAGUAUAUGAUGGCUAAAAAAUAAGUAUGUUUGUUUAAUCACCUAAGUCGGGCAUAUAAGUAAAACCAUGCAUCUUAAUUGAAUGUUAUGCUAACAGUUUAAAGAGCCAAUCCCCUUGACAAACUCUAGGUGGUCCUCUCAUAUGUAAAGGUCAUGCCUCGGUCAAAAGAGACCCCCGAGGAUGUCAGAAUGAGUGUUGUAAAUGCUCACCAGUCUGGAGAGGGUUAUAAAACCAUCGCCAAACGCUUCGGGAUUCAUCGGUCCACCGUACGACAAAUAGUCUACAAGUGGAAAAAAUUUAAGACAACAGAGACUCUACCUAGAUGUGGCCGUCCGACAAAGUUAUCCCAGAGAGCACUAAGGAAGAUCAUCCAGGAUGUGCAAAAGAACCCCAAGACCACAUCCAAGGAUCUGCAGGCCUCACUUGCUGCAGCUGAUGUCUACGUUCAUGACUCGACUAUACGACGCAGGCUGAAUAGCAGAGAUGUACAUCAAAGGUUAUCCAACAGGAAAGCUUCCCUCUCGAAGAAGAAUACUGACAUCAAGUUAGGAAAAACUUGCCAGCAUGACCUCAGCACAUGGGACAAGCAGGUAAAAGCUGGAGAAACCUUCCAAGAGUGUGGGCCGCUGGACCAGCCCAUCAACGUGCAAAACACCUGUGAUGAAGACCAAGAGAAACUUGCAAAACAAGGUCCUAACUCAAAAACGUAGAAGCCACAGGUGGAGUUAUAUAACAAGAUAUGAAAUUAAUGCCAUUGUGUAUCAGUGACUGAGGGAUGCAUUGUAUGACCCCUAAAGAUGCAAGUUGUCACAGUAAACAUUGUGCUUAACUUUGUUCCAAGUGUGUUAUUAGUAAAUCAAUCAAUUUAAGUGAA
Long non-coding RNA from Paramormyrops kingsleyae, 1516 nucleotides. RefSeq lists it as uncharacterized. The record is from RefSeq and is a predicted model, not a curated record. Lineage: Eukaryota; Metazoa; Chordata; Actinopteri; Osteoglossiformes; Mormyridae.